RNAcentral lists this ribosomal RNA (274 nucleotides) under uncultured Lachnospiraceae bacterium. Its description in RNAcentral is "partial 16S ribosomal RNA". It matches the Rfam family "Bacterial small subunit ribosomal RNA", at positions 75 to 339 of the family's 1533-position model. Lineage: Bacteria; Bacillati; Bacillota; Clostridia; Lachnospirales; Lachnospiraceae. The record is from RNAcentral.
UUCUUUCGGGAUGAAGACUUUUAUGACUGAGUGGCGGACGGGUGAGUAACGCGUGGGUAACCUGCCUCACACAGGGGGAUAACAGUUAGAAAUGACUGCUAAUACCGCAUAAGACCACAGCACCGCAUGGUGCAGGGGUAAAAACUCCGGUGGUAUGAGAUGGACCCGCGUCUGAUUAGCUAGUUGGUGAGGUAACGGCUUACCAAGGCAACGAUCAGUAGCCGACUUGAGAGAGUGAUCGGCCACAUUGGGACUGAGACACGGCCCAAACUCC